Molecule: ribosomal RNA, 498 nt
Filed under: uncultured bacterium
Lineage: Bacteria
Description: partial 16S ribosomal RNA
Rfam family: Bacterial small subunit ribosomal RNA
Source: RNAcentral
GAUGAACGCUGGCGGCGUGCCUAAUACAUGCAAGUCGAGCGAACAGACGAGGAGCUUGCUCCUCUGACGUUAGCGGUGGACGGGUGAGUAACACGUGGAUAACCUACCUAUAAGACUGGGAUAACUUCGGGAAACCGGAGCUAAUACCGGGUAAUAUAUUGAACCGCAUGGUUCAAUAGUGAAAGACGGUUUUGCUGUCACUUAUAGAUGGAUCCGCGCCGCAUUAGCUAGUUGGUAAGGUAACGGCUUACCAAGGCAACGAUGCGUAGCCGACCUGAGAGGGUGAUCGGCCACACUGGAACUGAGACACGGUCCAGACUCCUACGGGAGGCAGCAGUAGGGAAUCUUCCGCAAUGGGCGAAAGCCUGACGGAGCAACGCCGCGUGAGUGAUGAAGGUCUUCGGAUCGUAAAACUCUGUUAUUAGGGAAGAACAAAUGUGUAAGUAACUAUGCACGUCUUGACGGUACCUAAUCAGAAAGCCACGGCUAACUACGUGC